RNAcentral lists this ribosomal RNA (253 nucleotides) under uncultured bacterium. RNAcentral describes it as "partial 16S ribosomal RNA". It matches the Rfam family "Bacterial small subunit ribosomal RNA", at positions 524 to 776 of the family's 1533-position model. The record is from RNAcentral.
UACGUAGGGUGCGAGCGUUAACCGGAAUUACUGGGCGUAAAGCGUGCGCAGGCGGCUUUGCAAGACAGAUGUGAAAGCCCGGGGCUCAACCUCGGAGCUGCAUUUGUGACUGCAAGGCUAGAGUACGGCAGAGGGGGAUGGAAUUCCGCGUGUAGCAGUGAAAUGCGUAGAUAUGCGGAGGAACACCAAUGGCGAAGGCAAUCCCCUGGGCCUGUACUGACGCUCAUGCACGAAAGCGUGGGGAGCAAACAGG